This 435-nucleotide ribosomal RNA is filed under the name uncultured bacterium. RNAcentral's name for it is "partial 16S ribosomal RNA". It matches the Rfam family "Bacterial small subunit ribosomal RNA", at positions 94 to 525 of the family's 1533-position model. The record is from RNAcentral.
ACCGGNGCANGGGUGNGCAACGNGUAUGGAACCUGCCNUNUGNGGGGGAAUAGCCCAGAGAAAUUNGAAUUAAUCCCCCAUGUUNCCUUUUUAUGGCAUCAUAAUUAGGUCAAAGGNUUNGGCCGGCAGAGGAUGNCCAUGCGUACCAUUAGUUAGUUGGUAAGGUAACGGCUUACCAAGACAGCGAUGGUUAGGGGCCGUGAGAGGUGGAUCCCCCAUACUGGUAGUGAGUCACGGACCAGACUCCUACGACAGGCAGCAGUGUGGAAUAUUGGACAAUGGGCGGGAGUCUUAUCCAGCGGUGCCGCGUGCGAUAAGAACGCCCUACGGGUCGUAAACCGCUUUUAGNUUGGAAGAACUAGUUGCACGUGUGCCCCCGUGACGGUACCAUGNGAAUAAGGNCCGGCUAACUCCGUGCCAGCAGCCGCGGUAAUA